CCUACGGGUGGCUGCAGUGGGGAAUAUUGCACAAUGGGCGCAAGCCUGAUGCAGCCAUGCCGCGUGUGUGAAGAAGGCCUUCGGGUUGUAAAGCACUUUCAGCGGGGAGGAAGGCGGUGAGGUUAAUAACCUCAUCGAUUGACGUUACCCGCAGAAGAAGCACCGGCUAACUCCGUGCCAGCAGCCGCGGUAAUACGGAGGGUGCAAGCGUUAAUCGGAAUUACUGGGCGUAAAGCGCACGCAGGCGGUCUGUCAAGUCGGAUGUGAAAUCCCCGGGCUCAACCUGGGAACUGCAUUCGAAACUGGCAGGCUAGAGUCUUGUAGAGGGGGGUAGAAUUCCAGGUGUAGCGGUGAAAUGCGUAGAGAUCUGGAGGAAUACCGGUGGCGAAGGCGGCUCUCUGGCCUGUAACUGACGCUGAGGCGCGAAAGCGUGGGGAGCGAACAGGAUUAGAUACCCUUGUAGUC
Molecule: ribosomal RNA, 465 nt
Filed under: uncultured Klebsiella sp.
Lineage: Bacteria; Pseudomonadati; Pseudomonadota; Gammaproteobacteria; Enterobacterales; Enterobacteriaceae
Description: bacterial SSU rRNA
Rfam family: Bacterial small subunit ribosomal RNA
Source: RNAcentral